RNAcentral lists this transfer RNA (85 nucleotides) under Skeletonema pseudocostatum. RNAcentral's name for it is "tRNA-Ser". It matches the Rfam family "tRNA". From Rfam's summary of the family: Transfer RNA (tRNA) molecules are approximately 80 nucleotides in length. Lineage: Eukaryota; Bacillariophyta; Thalassiosirophyceae; Thalassiosirales; Thalassiosiraceae. The record is from RNAcentral.
GGAUAAGUGGUCGAGUGGUUUAAGGCGUUAGUUUUGAAAACUAUUGUAUUGUAUAAUACCGUGGGUUCGAAUCCUACCUUAUCUU